CGACGUCGAUGAGGAGUGUUCCUUCCUUUCUUUCGACGUCGAAGGGAAACCUUGCGUCAUCGCAACCGUGGAAGGAGUAGGCGGAGAUUGAUGAGGCGUCGGUGCCAGAGACAGAGAAACUGCCCGAUGUCGAGGGCCUUCAAAAGGUUGUAGCCAGGACGGAGAGGGGGUUGCACUCGUAGCACUAGUACAGUCCCUCCCAUGUUGAUGUUUAUACUUUUUUGCCUUAGGCUCCUUUGCCAUUUCUCCACCCUUUCUUUUCGGGCUGCGCAUAAGACUACUCGGCUUCUUGGCCGGUGCCCUGCCCUUCGCUGCCAAAGUAGCCACUGCUGAAGUGGUCAAUGUCGAGGCUAAAAAUGGUGCACUUGAGACUUUAGACUGCAUUGUAUUUGUAUCUGCGGGUCUCUGCGCCGAAGGGGAUGUCGCGGGCAUUUUCCAUUUUGAAAGUAAAGCCUCCUCCAUUAAGGCUACUUUUAACCUCAUGGCUCGAUUUUUCAAUGUCUGCUUAUUAAAAGUGGAGCAGACAUUGCAGCCAGCCAUAUUAUGAGACUCUCCUAGGCAGAACAAACAGAGUUCAUGCCCGUCAGUAAAGGGGAGUUUCCCAUGGCAUUCACGGCACCUCUUGAAGGUGGUUUUCUCCCUCCCCUUUGCCUUACUCAUUAGAGGUUGUGUUGUUUUUUGUUUUUGUUUGUUUGUUAGUAAAUGCAGUAUUGUGUUACCACGUCAGUUGGAGAAGAAAGUAGAGAAGUCGUUUGAGCCACGGUCUCACCAAAGGUCCGAGUAAUUUCCUAAGCCGAGGGUGAUCCAAAUAAUAUCCGAUUAUAUGCCAAAGGUCAUUGCCAGAAGUAUGUGUUUUAAAGUUUUAUUGAGAUAUAAAGAUCUUAGUGGAGCAACCGUUCCGAGGACUGAUCGCAAUGGCGGUCAGCAAGAAACUGAAUAGGAGGACGCCCAACCGCCACAAGAGGGUACUACAGUCACGUGCACCUGGAGGUUGCCAGCGUCGCGAGGAACUAGCUAAUUCUAACUGAAGCCGAUCUGCGCAGGUACAGAACCCAUCAAUUAUGAAUGUCUGGAACCACUAUCCAGAUCCUAGGUCGAUAUCAACAGUUUUUGUGGAGAGCAUGGCAUCGGUGUCAGGGGACGAAGUGCUUACUUGGGUCCGGUUUUUAAAAGUUUGAUGAGAGAAGGACGUGCAAAUUCUGCAGGUCCUUGUAUUAUGAUCCUCGCCUAAACAGAACAAACAGGAGUCAUGCCGAUCUGUCAAGAGCAACUUUCUCCAACAAUCCUUGCACAUCUUAAAAGUUUUCCUAACAUCCAUUGAGAAAUUAGAAACCAAAAAUAAGCUGUGUCAAGCCAGAAAAGCAACCUAAAUCCAUCAACAAAAACCAGUCCAUUUAGCAAUGAGUAGUCAGCAAUAAGUCCAAAAAAAGCACUUCACCAAACUCUCUCUCUCCCCUCCCCCCAAGUCUGAGGAGCCCUAGCCAAUGAGGUGAACACUUUGACAAUCGGAAAUGAAGUAAAGGUGGGGUGCCCCAAUCACCUAUAUAAACAGUUGCACCGAGCACAUGGGGCAGUGCGUGAGCACCACGAGGAAUUGGAUAUUCCACCUGCAAGGUCCUGCACAGGCGCAGAACCUAGGCUAAUGAAUGUCCUAUGGCUCACACUACAGAUCGUAUAGUAAUUUUGUUUUAAUAUUUGUUGUAUUUAUGUAUGCUUUUAAGAAAUCUUUUAGCAACUGUGAUUAUCUUUUAGAUGGAAACAUAGGAUAAGAAUUAUCAGAAAUACAUUGUUUCCAACUAACUACAAACUUGGGAAGAGAACUGCUUCCAUACUGAUCAUUAAUUCUGAAAGCAUGACAUAAAUGCAGCAGCUAAAGACAUGAAAGGAAACGCAUCCAGAGUUGGCCACAAUGAGUCCUGAACGACACGAUUCAAGCUAUCAAUAAAGAUAGGAUUUUACCUGAUAAUCCGGUUUGGUGAAAUAAUCCAGAUUUGCAAUGUGAUCCAGGAAAAGAUGGAACUCGGAAGGCAUAUGUUUUAGCAGCAUUCGAUGUUCAUAUUUCUCUUUAAUCAUACCAACUUGCUCCUAGAGAAAAAGUGUUUUCAGGGGAAAAAAGCUUAAAAUCAGCAUUUUCAAAACCCGGAAAUACCUCAAGAUAAGCUAGAAUUCACAAGGCAAAGCCCAACGUGUGUGGAGUGGGUCCAAGGAUCUCGAAAGGAUCUCAGGUUUCCUACCUUAUCUUUGAUCUUGCGCCAUGGAAGCUGACCAACUGCAAACUCCACCAGCAUGUAAAAAAGGGACCACAAGUCAUCAUGUCGACCCAUUUCCUGAAGAAAAUGAAAACAAAGG
This is a long non-coding RNA of Hemicordylus capensis (graceful crag lizard), 2349 nucleotides long. RefSeq lists it as uncharacterized. The record is from RefSeq and is a predicted model, not a curated record. NCBI's taxonomy places the organism in Eukaryota, Metazoa, Chordata, Lepidosauria, Squamata, Cordylidae. The transcript has 4 exons.